RNAcentral lists this long non-coding RNA (470 nucleotides) under Mytilus galloprovincialis (Mediterranean mussel). The record is from RNAcentral. Lineage: Eukaryota; Metazoa; Mollusca; Bivalvia; Mytilida; Mytilidae.
AAAAUUUUUUGGUCGUAUAUUGGUAUCACGUUGGCGUUGUCGUCUGCGUUGUUCGAAUACUUUUAGUUUUCGCACUCUAACUUUAGUAAAAGUGAAUAGAAAUCUAUGAAAUUUUAACACAAGGUUUAUGACCACAAAAGGAAGGUUGGGAUUGAUUUUGGGAGUUUUGGUCACAACAUUUUAGGAAUUAGAGGCCAAAAAGGGCCCAAAUAAGCAUUUUCUUGGUUUUCGCACUAUAACUUUAGUUUAAGUAAAUAGAAAUCUAUGAAAUUUUGACACAAGGUUUAUGACCACAAAAGGAAGGUUGGGAUUGAUUUUGGGAGUUUUGAUCCCAACAGUUUAGGAAUUAGGGGCCAAAAAAGGGCCCAAAUAAGCAUUAUUCUUGGUUUUCGCACAAUAACUUUAGUAUAAGUAAAUAGAAAUCAAUGAAAUUUAAACACAAGGUUUAUGACAACAAAAGGAAGGUUGGG